This is an RNA transcript of Ochotona curzoniae (black-lipped pika), 2153 nucleotides long. It is a transcript of the gene named cyclin dependent kinase like 3, with no coding region annotated. Lineage: Eukaryota; Metazoa; Chordata; Mammalia; Lagomorpha; Ochotonidae. The transcript has 13 exons. The record is from RefSeq and is a predicted model, not a curated record.
CGGCGGCGUCCGGUUGCCGGCCCGGUGCUGCGCGGAGGCCCAGAAUGGGCUGAGGCGGUGACGGUUGCCCGGACCAAGUCGACCAAGUACAAGCCAGGCUUCAAAAUGGAGAUGUACGAAACCCUUGGCAAAGUGGGAGAGGGCAGUUACGGAACAGUCAUGAAGUGUAAACAUAAGAAUACCGGGCAGAUAGUGGCCAUUAAGAUUUUUUAUGAGAAACCAGAAAAAUCUGUCAACAAGAUUGCAAUGAGAGAAAUAAAGUUCCUAAAGCAAUUUCGUCAUGAAAACCUGGUCAAUCUGAUUGAAGUGUUUAGACAGAAAAAGAAAAUCCAUUUGGUGUUCGAAUUUAUUGACCAUACAGUGUUAGAUGAGCUACAACAUUAUUGUCAUGGACUGGAGAGUAAACGACUCAGGAAAUACCUGUUCCAGAUCCUUCGAGCAAUAGAAUAUCUUCACAAUAACAACAUCAUUCAUCGAGAUAUAAAACCAGAGAAUAUUUUAGUAUCCCAGUCAGGAAUUACUAAGCUCUGUGAUUUUGGUUUUGCACGAACUCUUGCAGCUCCUGGGGACAUUUAUACAGACUAUGUGGCCACACGCUGGUACAGAGCUCCAGAAUUAGUAUUAAAGGAUACGUCUUACGGAAAACCUGUGGAUAUAUGGGCUUUGGGCUGUAUGAUUAUUGAGAUGGCCACUGGGAAUCCCCAUCUACCCAGCAGCUCUGAUUUGGAUUUACUUCAUAAAAUUGUUUCAAAAGUAGGCAAUUUGACACCUCACUUGCAGAGUAUCUUUUCUAAGAAUCCCAUUUUUGCUGGAGUGGUCCUUCCUCAAGUUCAACACCCCAAGAAUGCAAGGAAAAAAUACCCAAAACUUAAUGGAUUGCUGGCAGACAUAGUUCAUGCUUGCUUGCAAAUUGAUCCUGCUGAGAGGAUAUCAUCUACUGAUCUUUUGCAUCAUGAAUAUUUUACUAGAGAUGGAUUUAUUGAAAAAUUUAUACCAGAACUGAAAGCUAAGUUACUACAAGAGGCAAGAGUCAAUUCAUUCAUUAAACCAAAGACAUACUAUAAAGAAAAUGAAUUUAAAGAAGAUGGAAGCAAACCAAUGUUUACCAAUACAUUGCUAAGUAGUUCUGUUUUGAAAAGGGAAAUGGAAAGAGAAAAAAAGCCCAAGGAGGCCAAAGUCAGAGUUGUUAAAGUUAAAGGAGGAAAAGUAGAUCUUUCAGAGCCAAAAAAGACGGAGCAUGAGGAUGGAAGUUGUCAGCAGAAAGCACUUGAAGGUGCUCAUGCUGUGGCUGAAGACAGCAGACCUGCAGUCACGGAACCCCCAAGCUGUGUCAAUCCAAGCACCAAUCCUAAUGGCACGAGAGAGGAUCUGCCUUCUGGAAGCUGUAUGACAAUGCCACCCAUUAACCUAACUUCCAGUAAUUUGAUGACUACUACUCUCAAUUCUAAUUUUUCCCACCCCAGUUCAAGGUUAGCUGAAAGAGCAAAAAGGAGACGCACUUCCUUACAGUAUGUUGGACAAGCUGUGUCUGACAACAGGCAGGAGGAUGGAGGUCCCGUGCAAAGCCAAAUAGAGAAGAAUGUAUUUAAGGGUCAAAGUGGCCAGAUGGCAAUUGGAAACAAAAGGAAGGUGAAUUUUUCCAGACCUGACAGAAAGGAAUUUCAUUUCCCAGAAUUGCCUUUCACAAUACAGUCUAAGGAGAUGAAAGGAAUGGAAGGUGAAUAAUUGUGACUUCAGUGGACGUCAUAAUCUUUUGAAAUUCUUGAAAGUAAAGUUUCAAGCUAGGAAUAACAAAUUAUCAUUAUUUUAUAUAUUUUGCAAAAGUUAAACAGAUAAAAAUGCUGAAGAAGGAUUCAAAGAAAACAGAUUUGUCUAAAAUACAAACUUCACAUCGACCAAAAUCAGGAAAAACAAGAGGGUGGAGAUGGCCAUUAUGAGGGGAAGAAUUUGAAGAGGAACAGAUUUUUUUUCUGGUAGUGUCUUUCAAAUUCUCUUAAAAAUACAAAUUGACAACUCUUCCCUUUUUUUAUGUACAACAGCCAUGCAACAUCAUACAUAUUGUCUUGUUAUCACAGUAUAUUCAGUUUUAUUCUUUCUUCUAAUAUCUCUGUGUGCUUUGCUUGGGAGUGUAUAAAGUCAUCCAUCUCCUCUCU